UUUCAUUUGUCUUUUAGGUUUGACGAUACUUCACCUUUCUCAUUCCUCAGACUCCAACCCACUUUGAUUCUGAAAGAUUUGACUGUUGUUUCCGGUCAGUCAGCUUGCCGAAGCAGUCAGAUUUCCGUCAUACUACUCAGAAUAAAAAUGGCAUCAGGAGAUGAGCUUCCAUCCCAUCUCGCUGUCGAUACCUCCAACGUUCAAAUUCUUAACUCUGAGACCUCAAAAAGACUCGUCGAAAAUUUUGUAAUCGCUCUCAUGAACAAGGAGCGUUUCUACAUCCGCACAUUCUUUUCGACAUACAAAGCAUAUACCACUGCUGAAAGUGUGUUGUACAUCCUCCUGGACAAGUGAGCAUAAAUCUUAUGAGCAUCUCCUUUGUUUAAUGGUAAUGAUAGAAAAGUAUGUUCUGUCGAGUAAUUUUUGUUAUUAAUCCUUCUGGCAAUGAAUCGCUGAAACUAGCCGGAUGGAAACAAACUCUCAGUAAACUGAGAAUCUCCAUCCAACCCUCAGUA
Molecule: long non-coding RNA, 515 nt
Organism: Stegostoma tigrinum
Lineage: Eukaryota; Metazoa; Chordata; Chondrichthyes; Orectolobiformes; Stegostomatidae
Exons: 3
Source: RefSeq, a predicted model, not a curated record